This 75-nucleotide transfer RNA is filed under the name Candidatus Amesbacteria bacterium RIFCSPHIGHO2_01_FULL_48_32. RNAcentral describes it as "tRNA-Asn". It matches the Rfam family "tRNA". Rfam says of the family: Transfer RNA (tRNA) molecules are approximately 80 nucleotides in length. Their secondary structure includes four short double-helical elements and three loops (D, anti-codon, and T loops). The record is from RNAcentral. Lineage: Bacteria; Candidatus Amesiibacteriota.
UCCCCUGUGGCGCAACGGUAGCGCAAGCGACUGUUAAUCGCAAGGUUGGAGGUUCGAAUCCUCCCGGGGGAGCCA